AGGACGACGCUGGCGGCGUGCUUAACACAUGCAAGUCGAACGGGAGUAUUGAAGAAGCUUGCUUUAGAGAUACUUUAGUGGCGGACGGGUGAGUAACGCGUGAGGAGCUGUCCUAUGCAGGGGGACAACAGCUGGAAACGGCUGCUAAUACCCCAUAAGCCGAGAGGUAAAAGGAUCAAUCCGGCAGAGGAGGUACUCGCGUCCUAUCAGCUAGUAGGUGAGGUAACGGCUCACCUAGGCGAAGACGGGUAGCCGGCCUGAGAGGGCGAACGGCCACACUGGAACUGAGAUACGGUCCAGACUCCUACGGGAGGCAGCAGUGGGGAAUAUUGGGCAAUGGGGGAAACCCUGACCCAGCGACGCCGCGUGGGUGAAGAAAUCCUUCGGGAUGUAAAGCCCUGUUGUAUGGGAAGAGCGGAAGACGGUACCAUACGAGGAAGCCCCGGCAAACUACGUG
RNAcentral lists this ribosomal RNA (457 nucleotides) under uncultured bacterium. RNAcentral's name for it is "bacterial SSU rRNA". It matches the Rfam family "Bacterial small subunit ribosomal RNA", at positions 33 to 507 of the family's 1533-position model. The record is from RNAcentral.